CCCUUAGAUGUUCUGGGCCGCACGCGUGCUACACUGAGUAAAUCAAUGGGUAAGGGAACACGAAAGUGCAACCUAAUCUUGAAAUUUGCUCGUGAUGGGGAUCGACGGUUGCAAUUUUCCGUCGUGAACGAGGAAUACCUUAUAGGCGCGUGUCAUCAUCACGCGCCGAAUACGUCCCUGCCCUUUGUACACACCGCCCGUCGCUCCUACCGAUUGAGUGAUCCGGUGAGGCUCUGGGACCUGGACGGAAAGAGCGUUUCGCUUGUUCUGUUUGGGAAACUUGGUCGAACCUUAUCAUUUAGAGGAAGGAGAAGUCGUAACA
Molecule: ribosomal RNA, 322 nt
Filed under: uncultured eukaryote
Lineage: Eukaryota
Description: partial 18S ribosomal RNA
Rfam family: Eukaryotic small subunit ribosomal RNA
Source: RNAcentral